UGAUAGCUCAACUAUUAGGCUUCGGGGGAUACUGCCAGACUUGGAACCGGGAGAGGUAAGAGGUACUACAGGGGUAGGAGUGAAAUCUUGUAAUCCCUGUGGGACCACCUGUGGCGAAGGCGUCUUACCAGAACGGGUUCGACGGUGAGGGACGAAAGCUGGGGGCACGAACCGGAUUAGAUACCCGGGUAGUCCCAGCCGUAAACGAUGCUCGCUAGGUGUCAGGCAUGGCGCGACCGUGUCUGGUGCCGCAGGGAAGCCGUGAAGCGAGCCACCUGGGAAGUACGGCCGCAAGGCUGAAACUUAAAGGAAUUGGCGGGGGAGCACAACAACGGGUGGAAGCCUGCGGUUUAAUUGGACUCAACGCCGGACAACUCACCGGGGCGACAGCAAUAUGUAGGCCAAGCUGAAGACUUUGCCUGAAUCGCUGAGGGGAGGUGCAUGG
RNAcentral lists this ribosomal RNA (445 nucleotides) under uncultured archaeon. Its description in RNAcentral is "bacterial SSU rRNA". It matches the Rfam family "Archaeal small subunit ribosomal RNA", at positions 552 to 997 of the family's 1478-position model. The record is from RNAcentral.